GCCUACGGGGGGCAGCAGUGGGGAAUAUUGCACAAUGGGGGAAACCCUGAUGCAGCGACGCCGCGUGAGUGAAGAAGUAUCUCGGUACGUAAAGCUCUAUCAGCAGGGAAGAAAAUGACGGUACCUGACUAAGAAGCCCCGGCUAACUACGUGCCAGCAGCCGCGGUAAUACGUAGGGGGCAAGCGUUAUCCGGAUUUACUGGGUGUAAAGGGAGCGUAGGCGGUUAAACAAGUUAUAUGUUAAAUAUAUAGGCUUAACCUGUAGAAAGCAUAUAAAACUGUUUAACUAGAGUGCAGGAGAGGCA
This 305-nucleotide ribosomal RNA is filed under the name uncultured bacterium. RNAcentral describes it as "bacterial SSU rRNA". It matches the Rfam family "Bacterial small subunit ribosomal RNA", at positions 337 to 659 of the family's 1533-position model. The record is from RNAcentral.